Molecule: RNase P RNA, 369 nt
Filed under: Candidatus Melainabacteria bacterium RIFCSPHIGHO2_02_FULL_34_12
Lineage: Bacteria; Bacillati; Candidatus Melainabacteria
Description: RNase P RNA component class A
Rfam family: Bacterial RNase P class A
About the family: Ribonuclease P (RNase P) is a ubiquitous endoribonuclease, found in archaea, bacteria and eukarya as well as chloroplasts and mitochondria. Its best characterised activity is the generation of mature 5'-ends of tRNAs by cleaving the 5'-leader elements of precursor-tRNAs.
Source: RNAcentral
GAAGUUCUUCAAGUAGUUGCGUUUUAUAUUUGAUGUGCCAGUUUACUGGUGAAAAUAUAAGAUGAGGAAAGUCCGGGCACCAAAGGGCUGGUUGCUUCGUAAUGCGAAGUGCAUGUGAGUGUGAGGAAAGUGCCACAGAAAAGUAGACCGCCAGAAAUGGUAAGGGUGCAACGGUGAGGUAAGAGCUCACCAGUAUUGAAGGUGACUUCAAUACUAGGUAAACCCCGCUGAAGGUGCAAGAUUAAGGUAUAGGUUUGGGAAAUAGCUGCCCGCUAUCCAGAACUGCCGACAUCGCUAGAGGGUAUUGGUGACAAUGCUCCCAGAUAGAUAACUGCAAAAACAGAACCCGGCUUAUGAGGGACUUCCGUA